This is a long non-coding RNA of Gymnodraco acuticeps, 888 nucleotides long. RefSeq lists it as uncharacterized. The record is from RefSeq and is a predicted model, not a curated record. Lineage: Eukaryota; Metazoa; Chordata; Actinopteri; Perciformes; Bathydraconidae. The transcript has 4 exons.
CGGAAGACAGAGAAGAAGAACAGACCGUGAUAUAAACAACAACAAAUAGCUUGUGCGUUCCAUUUUCCCUCUCGUCCAUCUAAAACAUGUUUCGUGCGGCACUGGAGCUAUCAGCCAUUGCAGUGUUACUUGUGGAAGACAUUCUCAAGCAACAGUCUCUCAAGAAGCGGAAGCGAAGAAUUAGGAGAAACCGCACUAAAUGGGUGAAGUCAUGGAUACUACAGCGAGAAGCUCACGGUGCUUCCCCGAACCUGUGUCGAGAGCUGGAAUUCAAUGAAGUGCCAGAUUUCAGAAAUUUCGCUCGGCUUUUUCCUGUGCAGUUCCACAUGUUGGAGGAACUCAUCACUCCAAUCAUCCAGAGGGAAAACACCAACUACCGGGAUUGCAUCUCCGUGGGGACACGUCUGAUGGUUACGCUGCGAUUUUUGGCAACAGAUUUGUCUGUUAUGUGCUGUGGCCUGGUAAUGCUUCCAAGGGGACAACUUCCUCUGCCAGUCUACUGCUUGAUGAGCUAACCAAUUCAGCGCUGGAACAUUUAGCCUGCAGCUCUAAUGACACGUUCAUGGAGGAUGAAAGCCCUUCCAGAAGACUGAUGACGAUGCCAAAAGGUUGGUUAAAUCUGCACUAACCAAGAAAUCAGGUGGCGAUGGUAUUAUCAACCAAUACAACCGGACGAAAGGUCUGACUGACUCCACACGGUGACAGAUGUUUAGCAUCCUCGCUCCUGCUGACUGAAACUCAUUAGGUGUAUUUUAUUUUUGGCACUUGAUUUGACUUAAAAUAAUAAUGCUCUGAUGUGCGAGUCCCCCGUUUUUGAAGAAACUUUGUUUGAAAUGUAACAUUGAGUCAGUGUUUUUCUGUUUAAAUAAAUUGAUAUCAAGACAUGGA